AGGAACCUGCCUCUCAGAGGGGGACAACAGUUGGAAACGACUGCUAAUACCGCAGUAAUAUAUCUGUAUCGCAUGGUAUGGAUAUCAAAGAUUUAUCGCUGAGAGAUGGCCUCGCGUCUGAUUAGCUAGUUGGUAGGGUAACGGCCUACCAAGGGCGACGAUCAGUAGCCGGACUGAGAGGUUGGCCGGCCACACUUGGGACUGAGAUACGGCCCAGACUCCUACGGAAGGCAGCAG
Molecule: ribosomal RNA, 237 nt
Filed under: uncultured bacterium
Lineage: Bacteria
Description: partial 16S ribosomal RNA
Rfam family: Bacterial small subunit ribosomal RNA
Source: RNAcentral